This 253-nucleotide unclassified non-coding RNA is filed under the name uncultured Tepidisphaerales bacterium. RNAcentral describes it as "contains 16S-23S intergenic spacer region". It matches the Rfam family "Bacterial small subunit ribosomal RNA", at positions 524 to 776 of the family's 1533-position model. Lineage: Bacteria; Pseudomonadati; Planctomycetota; Phycisphaerae; Tepidisphaerales. The record is from RNAcentral.
GACAGAGGUGCCAAGCGUUAGGCGGAAUCACUGGGCUUAAAGCGUGUGUAGGCGGAUGCCUAAGUACUUUGUGAAAUCCCACGGCUCAACCGUGGAACUGCUUGGUAUACUGGGUGUCUUGAGCCACUUAGGGGCGACCGGAACAAAUGGUGGAGCGGUGAAAUGCGUAGAUAUCAUUUGGAACGCCAAUGGUGAAAACAGGUCGCUGGGAGUGUGCUGACGCUGAGACACGAAAGCCAGGGGAGCGAACGGG